AUGAACGCUGGCGGCGUGUUUAAGGCAUGCAAGUUGAGCGACGUGCUUCCCGCAAGGGAAGUUACGAGCGGCAAACGGGUGAGUAACACACUGGUAACCUACCUUGAAGUCGGAGAUAGCUCGCCGAAAGGCGGAUUAAUAUCCGAUGGACAUGCGGGGGCAUAAGCCAUUCGCAUGUAAAGAUUUAUCGCUUCAAGAGGGGCCUAUGUCUGAUUAGCUAGUUGGCGGGGUAAUGGCCCACCAAGGCUCUGAUCAGUAGCAGGCGUGAGAGCGCGACCUGCCUCACUGGGACUGAGACACUGCCCAGACUCCUACGGGAGGCUGCAGUCGAGAAUCUUCCCCAAUGGGCGAAAGCCUGAGGGAGCGACGCCGCGUGUAGGAUGAAGGUCUUCGGAUUGUAAACUACUUUUAUAGGGGACGAAUUCGUGACGGUACCCUAUGAAUAAGAGGUUGCUAACUCUGU
Molecule: ribosomal RNA, 463 nt
Filed under: uncultured bacterium
Lineage: Bacteria
Description: bacterial SSU rRNA
Rfam family: Bacterial small subunit ribosomal RNA
Source: RNAcentral